RNAcentral lists this long non-coding RNA (1633 nucleotides) under Theobroma cacao (cacao). RNAcentral describes it as "long non-coding RNA (TCAC_LNC004770)". The record is from RNAcentral. Lineage: Eukaryota; Viridiplantae; Streptophyta; Magnoliopsida; Malvales; Malvaceae.
UUGGACUUUGAGAACUGUAUAAUUUAAGAGAGUUGGGGCCCAAUUUGUGAGGGUAGGAAAGAACAGCCUAUUCCCCUAACAGUUUCUUUGUUUAGCUCAAUAGAGAAGAAUGCAUUCGUAACCAGGAGACACAGAAAAGACAAAGGUUGCUAGCGUUUUCUAAGCUGCAUGAAGAGCAGAAUCUUCGAGGAGUUGCUCAUAGUAUGAAACUUCUUGAGCAAGCAGUAAAGCCUUUUGGUACAUUUCUUUGUACAUCCUUUAGCUAAAAUUGUAGUGAAAUUGCUUGAAAGGAGUUCAUUAUACUACCUGCAUUUCUCUUCAUAUAGCUUUCUCUAAAUGCUCUUUUUGACAUGGUUCAAAUCUUUCAUCCCAACAUUGAAGGAUUCCGUAAGUCAUUCAAUGGCAGAGUUUGAUGCAUCCUCUUCAGAAUAUUAAGCUAGGUUCAAACUUGCCCCUCUUCCUCUAUGAAGGAAAUACUUUCGGAAGGAGAGAUGCCAGCAACGUUAAGAUCAAUCUCCAUGAUAGCAACCCUACCCAUAAUCCCAUCUUCUUCAGAAAAUUUAGGCUUAGGAAGGCCCACAUAUUCACAAACUUCAAACAGGGCAAGUUUUCUAGACCUUUCAAGAUCCCAAGGUAAAAAAAUUAAACAGAGAGAAUUGACAUGAAUAUAAUCUUACACCAACUUAUGGCUUCUCGAGAACAAAAAAGAACACGUUCAAAGUACUACACACUUAUGCAACCAUAAUUAGAUUAAAGCAUGGUCACGGAGAACAAAAAGGAACACCUUCACAGUACUACACCCUUAUACAGUCAUAUGGUUUCGACAGAAUGGUAAGAGCAUGGUCUAAAAGCAUAAUGAAAAAUAUCAUUUCUAAUGAACAACAACCAAUUCGCCUCUCUUCAAACCUAGGCCAAAUUUAUCAUUCGGCUUAUGUACCAAGAACACAACAUCCUUUUUUGAAAAAUUAGCAUGCCAUUGUAAUACAAGUAUCAAGCAAUGUGAAUUUUAGUGUCAUAAAUUCAAUGAUCAUACUCUUGAACAUUCUUACCAGCCAUGUAUGUGGCCAAUAGUAAAAUCGUGAAUUCAUUACUUCUUAAAAAUAAAAAGAACAUGUUCACAGUGAUGAAUAUACCAGUUCAAACAAUCAUUCUUUAGACAAAAGGUGAUUGAAAGCAAAGAAAAAACAUAGGAAAAACAGCAAGGAAAUCGCUUAACUAAUCAAUUCACCUAACUUUAAAUCUGGUAAAAAGUUCUAAUAUUUUAAAGACAUAAGCAUGCCAUUGGUAUUCAAGGGUCACAUAUUCUUAUCUUAAAUACUUUCUCAUAAUGAUCAUGCUCUUGAAGAUCCCUACCAAUCAUGUUAUGCUUAAAAGUGGGAUAAUGCCAACACAUACUAGUUCAACCACUAUUUAUUUUUUAGACGAAAAGGUGAUCAAAAGCAUGAGCAAGAAUAGGUAAAACAGCAAGCAUAUUACUUUACUAACCAAAUGAACCUUACUUUAAAGCUAGUUGAAAUUUCUUAUCUAGGUGCUGUACUCAAAGGACAAACUUUGUUUUAAGGAUCCUAAGCAAAUCACAGAAAUUAUGCAGGCCUAAACUACAAAUCAAUGGCACAUCUAUAACAAAAAUGAC